This 253-nucleotide ribosomal RNA is filed under the name uncultured bacterium. RNAcentral describes it as "partial 16S ribosomal RNA". It matches the Rfam family "Bacterial small subunit ribosomal RNA", at positions 524 to 776 of the family's 1533-position model. The record is from RNAcentral.
UACAGAGGUCUCAAGCGUUGUUCGGAUUCAUUGGGCGUAAAGGGCGUGUAGGUGGCGCGCUAAGUCGGGUGUGAAAUUUCGGAGCUUAACUCCGAAACUGCAUUCGAUACUGGCGUGCUUGAGGACUGGAGAGGAGACUGGAAUUCAUGGUGUAGCAGUGAAAUGCGUAGAGAUCAUGAGGAAGACCAGUGGCGAAGGCGGGUCUCUGGACAGUUCCUGACACUGAGACACGAAGGCCAGGGGAGCAAACGGG